GACGAACGCUGGCGGCGUGCUUAACACAUGCAAGUCGAACGUGAUUUUCAUAGAAGUUCCUUCGGGAGUGGAAAUGAAAUGAAAGUGGCGAACGGGUGGGUAACACGUGAGCAACCUACCUUACACAGGGGGAUAGCCGUUGGAAACGACGAUUAAUACCGCAUGAGACCACAGAAUCGCAUGAUAUAGGGGUCAAAGAUUUAUCGGUGUAAGAAGGGCUCGCGUCUGAUUAGCUAGUUGGAAGGGUAAAGGCCUACCAAGGCGACGAUCAGUAGCCGGUCUGAGAGGAUGAACGGCCACAUUGGAACUGAGACACGGUCCAAACUCCUACGGGAGGCAGCAGUGGGGAAUAUUGCACAAUGGGGGGAACCCCUGAUGCAGCGACGCCGCGUGAGCGAAAGAAGGUUUUCGAAUCGUAAAAGCUUCUGUCCU
RNAcentral lists this ribosomal RNA (432 nucleotides) under Parvimonas micra. RNAcentral's name for it is "bacterial SSU rRNA". It matches the Rfam family "Bacterial small subunit ribosomal RNA", at positions 28 to 440 of the family's 1533-position model. Lineage: Bacteria; Bacillati; Bacillota; Tissierellia; Tissierellales; Peptoniphilaceae. The record is from RNAcentral.